This 268-nucleotide ribosomal RNA is filed under the name uncultured prokaryote. Its description in RNAcentral is "partial 16S ribosomal RNA". It matches the Rfam family "Bacterial small subunit ribosomal RNA", at positions 524 to 792 of the family's 1533-position model. The record is from RNAcentral.
UACGUAGGGGCUAGCGUUAUCCGGAAUUAUUGGGCGUAAAGAGCGCGCAGGUGGUUGAUUAAGUCUGAUGUGAAAGCCCACGGCUUAACCGUGGAGGGUCAUUGGAAACUGGUCGACUUGAGUGCAGAAGAGGGAAGUGGAAUUCCAUGUGUAGCGGUGAAAUGCGUAGAGAUAUGGAGGAACACCAGUGGCGAAGGCGGCUUCCUGGUCUGUAACUGACACUGAGGCGCGAAAGCGUGGGGAGCAAACAGGAUUAGAUACCCCGGUA